RNAcentral lists this long non-coding RNA (1095 nucleotides) under Struthio camelus australis. RNAcentral's name for it is "lncRNA (ENSSCUG00000003773.1)". The record is from RNAcentral. Lineage: Eukaryota; Metazoa; Chordata; Aves; Struthioniformes; Struthionidae.
AUGACAGUUUGCUGUGAGUUCAGCAGCCCCUCACCCCAUUUGACUGUGUUUCCUUGCUUGCAGCAUCCCUAUGCCAAAUACAACAGAGACUUGGUCAAUGUGGCAGCUACUGUAAAGAUGGCGUUUUCUUGUGUAUCAACAGGCACCAUCGUUAUCUUCCUCCUUCCAGAAGCAAAANNNNNNNNNNNNNNNNNNNNNNNNNNNNNNNNNNNNNNNNNAUACCUGUCCUGUUCUUGCCAGUUUGAAAGCCCCUCACACUGGAGUAAACAACAUGUGAAACCAGGCUACAGGCAUGUCACAGCAUAAUCCCACCUCACUUGUACAGAGCUAGAGCAAGCGCCUGUCAGAUCCAGAUCGCACUGCCUGUACGUCACUCACUGCCUGUCUUCUGCUGUCCCUCCUGCCACCAGCUCGUGCCCUGGACAGCCACGAGGGCUGGGAGCAUCCAGGAGGGCGGUGAGGCACAAGGCCAAGGGGACACAAGCGGUGGUGCCUGUAAAUGGCCUGGGAGCAGGGUGUUGGGAGCCGAGGGGAGCGAGCGAUGACAGCAGCUGUAUUUGGUGGAGGGAGGCUGGGAGGAGCAGAGGCUGGGGGGAGGCAAAGCCAGCUCUCAGCAGCGCAGGAGCCAGCCUGCGGAGCCGUGCCCAAGGGAGCCCUCACUACCACCCUCUGCCUGAGCCCUGGCGCAGCCCGUUGUGCAAAUGUCAGUGGCCAGGAGCCAGGGAGAACGGGACCCACUCCCCAUGACCUGCGUCUCCUUCGGGCCAUAGCGCAGCUCAGGGCUGUGCUAGGUUGACGAGACCACGCAACUGAGGCUUGCGUACAAGCGUUGUGUCCUUGCUCACAAUUGCCCUCCUCAUUUUUUAUGAGACCUGGGCAUAGCUUAAUAACUUGACGCUGCUCUGGCUGAAGCCAGAUAACUCUGCCAGUACUCUCAUAGUAUGCAGCCAGAUCUGAUCAGUUGUUGGACCAGAUCCACUGUUGUGUUUCUUAAAUUCAAUUGUUAAUAUUUGGAUUCUGAAAAAAGGGAACAUCUGUCCCUGCACUUUGGCACCAGAUCCAUGCGAGCCUGAAUAAAUCACACAGUGCAAACCA